AAAUUAAUUUUACAUUUUAACUAUGCUCAUUAGUUUGGGGAUCAUUUGGGGAUAUUUUGGCAGGAGGUUUCAACAUUUAGGGAAAAUUAUUUGAUUUAUUAUAAAUUAAUUAAGUUGGAACGUAUAGUUAGCAAACAAAUAAUUUAAAAUUUUUGAAAAAUUACUCAAAGCUUUUAAAUGUUUUGGGGAAUCGAUUCCUCAAGACCAAAUUAUUUAGGGAAGAAUAAAACUCCUUCAAUUACUUAAUUUCAAUUCUAAAUGGAGAAGCGCCGGGGAGGAAUCGAUGUAUACAUAUAUAUUCAUCCGCGAAGUAUUGUUUGGGGACUCAUUGAAUUCAACAUCUAAUUCGACGUUCGACCACAUGUUCUUGAAAAAAAAAAACAUAACCUAACAAUCCUGGAAAGAGCGCGGAAACUACGUGUGAAUUGCACUCCCUAUGAUAUCAGCGUUAAGUUUAUUUACCACCGAUAUGUUGCAUAUUUGUACAUUACAAGAGGUUUCGUGCGAGAAAAGAAAUAGUCCGUAAAAUACAGGGACAAUGAAAAGUAUGUGGCACGUGUACUGGUGAUAAGCAAUGAUGAAACAUCUUUGAGGACGUUGAAGUCAAACAUAGGGGAUGACGCAUGAGUACCACGUUGAUGAGUUUUCUCACGGUCUCGAAAAACGUCACCAAGCAUAUGGGUGAAAAAAUCCAGUAAUAAUGGAUCAUUAAAUUCGUUCUUCUCUGCACUUGAAAUUUAAUGAUUCAGUUUUCCUCGUGCCCUCGACAUGAAUAAUGCCUGCCUAUCCUGUAAACUAUCUUUCUCUCCAGGGAAUCACAUACGAAAAUUUCAAUAGAAAACCCCAAAGAAUUCUAUAGGAAUUUCUAUAGACUUUCUAUAAGACUUCUAUUGAUUUUUCUAUUCCCUUUUGCCGUUUUGUCUUGACAUGUUCGAUAGGAAAUUUUCUAUAGAAAAAGUCAAUAGAAUCUCAGUUUUCUAUAGAUUUUUUGUCGCUCAAGUUUUCUAAGUUUUUCCAUUCGAUUUUUUUGAAGAGAAGAAAAUAAAAAAAGACUAAAAGACUUAAAAAAUUUAAGUUCAAAAAAUUCUAUCAAAAAAUGAAAUUCUAUUGACUUUUUCUGUAGAAUAUUUCCUAUUGAAUAUAUCAAUAGAAAACGACAAAAACGAAUAGAAAAUUCAAUAGAAGUUCUAUAGAAAUUCCUAUAGAAUUCUUUAAGGUUUUCUUUUAAAAAUUUUCGUAUGUCGUAAUCCUGUUUUUGUAGGCAAAGCUAUCUGUCCUGACGAGAAGCUAAACCCAUGGACUCGUGCUUUGUCGUUGAACUGGGCAAAUGAGGAAGGAGAUUUUUCUGGAGAGAACAAUUCUUAAACCUCCAAUAUUUACAACGAUUAGGAAACAUGAUGAAAUAGGACGUUGAUGUUUUUGAAAGACAGGAUAUUUCAUUCUUAAUGAGGCUACCGAUAUCUCUCUCCAUCCCAGUAAAAUAUAUUUCCAUUUCACGAACGACAUAAUUUUUUAUGUCGGAGGUCAAUUCAGUUCUUCUAACAUUCUUCCUUCGGUUAAUUUUAUCAUCAAUUCGAGGUCUUUCGCAACACUCUGUCUAAUUGCUCAACUCUGCAAAUCAAUAAUCAAUCGUUUGGUGAUUCUAAUGAAAAAUUAUGAAGAAAAUCAUUUUAGAGUAACUCCUUCUGUAUUUAAUUACAGUGAUCUCAUGAGUGCAUUUUUUGACCAGAAAAUCCUCCACAAUGGUGGAAGUUGAGAAUGGGGAAUUUAACGAAAGAUGCUAUCGAUAUCAUUCCAGCUCCAGUGAAUCAUCGAGAGCCAAAAAGGAAAGCAUCAGCAUCAUCGUUACUCGUUCUCUCUGGCUGCAUGGCUCUGCUUGAUUCACGAGUUUGAUAAACUGAUAAACAACGUCCGACUGUGUUAUUACCGUUUAUAGAAUUGGAUUUUUUUUGUGUUCACAGAUUUUACUUGGAAGCAGGUAAAAGUCCACCAGGAAAUCGAAUGCAGAAUCUCAUUGACUAGAACACGUGUUUGAAGAUUAUGUUUAGACCUCGAAUGUGUUCUUCGUGGCUUUUCUCAAAUUAUUUCAAACAAAAUUCUCAUCAUUAAAACAGUUGUUGUAGUCCAUGAAUAGACAAAUGUUGCAUAUUUCCGACUGUUAUUGAAAAAAAAACAUUCCAUGUUCCCUCAUUAUUUCUCUAUAAUUUCAAUAAAUAUUCUUCACAUGAAUUAUUUAUCUUGCACGCAAUUUCUCCGUCUUUUUCGCAAUUAAUAAUAAUGAUGUGGUUUUGAAUAAGUGUUUGAGCUCAUUACAAAGAAAUGUUUUACGAUUGUAUUUGAUGAGGAAAAAGAAACAGUACAAUACAGUACAGUACAAUUAA
Fopius arisanus is the source of this 2381-nucleotide long non-coding RNA. RefSeq lists it as uncharacterized. Lineage: Eukaryota; Metazoa; Arthropoda; Insecta; Hymenoptera; Braconidae. The transcript has 2 exons. The record is from RefSeq and is a predicted model, not a curated record.